GUACGGGGUGGGUUAAGCAAGGAUUCGGCAACCCCUUGCCUCACGGCAAAGACCACGGCUAAAGAAGAUUGCAGCAAAGAAGAAAUCAGGAAGAUGCAGAGGAGAUUUCGGGAACUUCUCGCCGACGGAGAAAGAAGAGGAGAGGAGAGAAUUGAAACCCUAAAUGUAAAUGCCGUCCACAUCAAUACCCCAAAAUAUUGAAGACAACACCUUUCUAAUGUCCGAUCCCACAGUUAAUCUCAGGCUUCUUUUGGGUUGUAACACCCCCAAUCGGACUCGAGACAUGUCUAGGGCACGGGAUUGUGGUUGCAGGCUUCACAUUCGUCACAAUAGGGUUUGAAUUGACGAUGGAUUCUCUAACUCACAUAUUGUUGCUGUUGUUUGUUUUUUAAGCACAUGGUGAAGGUCAUAGAACUAAUCGAUAACCUGGAAGUUACAAGACAUGUGCCCUACAUUGGUGGGUUCAGAUGGAUAUCCUUUUCAGGAGAAAUUUAUCUUCGGCUUAAAUUUGGAGAAGAUGUUGUUAAGUGAUGAAAAGCAAUGUGCGGAACACAUCAUGCUGGUUGACUUAGGGAGGAAUGAUGUCGGAAAGGUAACGAAACCUGGUUCGGUUAAUGUGGAAAAGCAUAUGACCGUUGAACGGUACUCCCAUGUGAUGCAUAUUAGUUCCACCAUGACUGGGAGUUGCUCGAUAAUCUGACUUGCUGGGACACCCUUUCUGUUGCACUUCCAGUUGGAAUUGUUAGUGGUGCUCCAAAGCAAUGGCUAACACGGAUGUCACUUUCCUGAAUCAACUAAAUGUUGAUUCGAAAAACGUCACUAUAAAGGUCAAGAUUGUCAAGCUUUGGAGGAGACCCAUGAAGGAUAACAAAAAAGAAACCUGGUCUAUUGAAAUGAUUCUGAUGGAUGAACAGGGGACAAAAGUUACUGCAAGUUGUCUACAAAAGUUUUUUCCCAGAUUUGGGAAACAUCUGAUUCAAGAUGAUUGCCUCUUUAUCCAUAGGCCAUCACUUGCCGAAAACAAGUUUACCUUGAAGUUUGCUGAAAAAGAACAGAAGGUUACUUUUUUCUACAACACUUUGAUCACGAAAUGCAAUAGCUGGUCAGGAUCUGAGCAUGGGUUCGUUUUUGCGGAUUUUAAGUCAAUUCUCGACAAAUCCGGGUCCAAUGACAAUUCAAUUCCUUUGGGUUCAAUUUUAGAUUUGAUUGGAUAUGUUGUCAUAUGUUACCCCAUGGAGCCUACCACUACAAAAUUAGGGCUUGGCAAAAGAAUGACUUUAAAGCUAAGAGAUUUAAAUAAUGAAGAUUUGACGGUGACUUUGUGGGACGAGUUUGCUGAGGAAAUGAACGCAUAUAUGUCAUGGAAAGAUAAAGAUAUGCAUGUGGUUUUACUUAUUCAGUUUAGGGUUUGAAGCUUUACAAAGGGAAACGAAUUGUUUCAAAUGCAUUUGAUGCAACUAGGCUGUUCAUCAAUACUGAUAUUGCUGAUAUCAAAGCAUUUAAAAAAAGUUAUAUUGAAAAUUGAAGUUCCUCAACUAAUUACCAGUUAGGUUCGUGCAUUAUCAACUCUGUUGAAGACCUAUUUGUUGAUGACACUAAGUUUAGCCCCAUUGCUUAUGUCCCUUUAAUAGAUGAGGAGAAAAGUGUUGUCAUUGUUGGUACCAUCAAGUCUAUUUGUACCGAAAAGCUCUGGUACUAUAACGCGUGCAAUGUUUGUAAGUACAAAGUCCAACAAAAACACAUCACUAUUUAUAUAUACUCUAAUUUACAACAAUUCGGUGCAAUGAAGUUGGUACAUCCUGCUUAGAAUGUUGUACUAGCUUUUUCAACAUUUUUUUUAUCCACACGCGACCUUUUCUACCUGCAACAUAAUCAAGAAACACAGGGAUCAGAUGAGAUACCGAGAGAAAGAGAGAGACUUCAAGAGGGAGAGACCGUAAAGGAGAUGGAGCCUCGCAGCGGUGGUUCUUAGGGUGACGUCAGUUAACUCAAGCGAAUGAUGAUGGCAGUACUAGCGGCUAGGGUUCAGAUCUGUUACCAGUAAAGGAGAUGGAGCCUCGCAGCGGUGGUUCUUAGGGUGGCGUCGGUUAACUCAAGCGAACGAUGAUGGCAGUACAUGUGGUUUAAGAAAGGAGAUUUCGGUGACUUAUAGACCGCCGUUGUUAGUUGCCGGAAGAAGUUCCCCUGGUCUCUUCUCCAACCCUUUCUUUAGACACCAGAUUGGUCGAUGGUGUUAGCCGUUAGGUUCCAGUGACACAGGUAUGGUUAGGAUUCGGUGGUGGUUGACGGUGUUCUACGGCGGACAAUAAACAGAAGGGUGGCGUAUGGUGAGUCGAACUUGACACGGAUGUCGAGGGAUUCCAUCAAUGGAAGGUUUAAGGUUUGGGGAUUUAGAGUUCCGCUACUUCUGCAGUUCUCGCUCCAUUUGCGCAAGUGAGCCCGUACAAGAUUGAAAUGAUGACGGGUAUGUCGGCAAACAAAAGUCAAGCAGUUGACUCAAGAGAUUAUUUUUAGGGAUAGAAAAGCCUUGAUUCCAAUUAACAGAUUACAUAUCAGGAUCAUAAAAGAAUAUGGGAAGUUCGAUAUGAUUAUCAACAAGACAGAGCUCCAAAGGAGGUAAUGGUCAGUCAUAAAUGUGCAGAGGUUGGUUUUUGAGGUGCUCAGGUAAUAUCUAACUAUUCAUGCUAAUUAUAAAAUCUGAGUAUUAGUAUUAUGAAUGUUUUAAUUGUAAAAAGAGGAUUAAAUUUUCAAAAUUUUAAUCUUAGUAUUAGAAUAACAUACAUUGUUUUAAUAUAAACAAACCUUUAAGUAAUAGAGCAUAAUGCAUCCCAUAUGUGUGUGUGUCUCUGAGUACAUAGUGAAGUUCAUGAACUCUACCAUAUAUAUGUGUGUGUAUAACUAUGCAGUUAAUAUCGGUCCCUUAGUAAAAUAUCGGUACCGAUAUCGGCGAUAUAUACCAAGAUUUGACCGACAUAAUCGAUAUAUCACCGAUAUUUGACUGAUAUAACCGAUAUAUAACCGAUCUAACCGCUAUAUCACUGAUAUAUCAUUGAAUUAUAUGUGUUAAAUUGCUAUAUGUAUAAAUCUGUAUUUACAUGUGGUAUCGAUAAGGUAUGUUAAUCCGUGUGUUCUUUCGAGAUUUUUUUUUGCGCAUUCCGUUAAGGUGACGUAUUUGCUAUAACCAUGGUGUUUGCAGGCCACUUUCUUCUGACCCAUAUGUUGCUUGACAAUAUGAAGAAAACAGCCCGUAAAAGUAAGAAAGAGGGAAGGAUUGUGAAUGUAUCAUCAGAGGCUCAUAGGAUUACUUAUCCUGAAGGAAUUUGUUUCGAAAAAAUUAAUGAUGAAACAAAGUAUAGUAAAUAUCAAGCAUAUGGUCAAUCAAAGCUAGCCAACAAUCUGCAUGCUAAUGAGCUUACAAGACAGCUAAAGGGGGCCGCGACAACAUGCUAUGUAGCAUUGUACCAACAAGUGAAAGGAGUAAGUGGGGAAUUAUUUCUCGGAUAGCAACUUGGCAAAAACAACAGAUGUGGCUAAAGAUAUGGAUUUGGCAAAGAGAUUAUGGGAAUAUAGCAUCAAUCUAAUAAAGUAAACAUCAAAACUUUGCCCCAGUGGAUUAAGAUAAAUGCAUAAAUGACCAUUUGGCUUGGCUUCCAUCAUUCCAUGCAAAGUUUUUUAUUACUAAGAAAUGACCAUAUUAAUUUGAUUUUGAAUUUCAAAGUUUGCUGAUAUGUUCUGUUUCGAAUCUGAUUAACUUACUGAUGAAUCGUGUUGUUCGUUGCAGAGAUGUCAACAACAGUUAUGAACGAUACAAUUAUGAUGCCAACAACCGAUCCGCAGAUAAAUAAAACAGUUAACUCAACCGAAUUAGUGUUAGCAAAGUGUGAUUGGUGCGAAUUAACGGAGGAGUGUACGCCGGAGUACAUAAAAAAAUUCGAGCAAGGUAUAAUGGUAACUGGAUGUGCGGAUUGUGUGAAGAGGCGGUUAAAGACGAAAUGGUAAGGAGCAAAGGCUAAUCGACACGGAAGAAGCUAUGAUGCAUCAUAUGAACUUUUGCCGAAAAUCAAAGUCGCCGGAUCCAAUGUUGAGUCCUACGAUUGACUUAAUCGAAUCAAUGAGACGGUUUAUCCGGCGAGGUUUGGAUUCGCCUAGACCGUCGAUGUUGUGAUUGUCAUUCAUAGCGUAACAUAAAGCGGAACAAUUUAUAAACUAAUAGACGAGUAUAAUGAUGUAAAUUAUCGAUUCCGCCGCAACGCGCUGGUUUCCCACUUAA
Molecule: RNA transcript, 4270 nt
Organism: Helianthus annuus (common sunflower)
Lineage: Eukaryota; Viridiplantae; Streptophyta; Magnoliopsida; Asterales; Asteraceae
Gene name: short-chain dehydrogenase TIC 32, chloroplastic-like
Exons: 17
Source: RefSeq, a predicted model, not a curated record